CUUGCUUCUCUUGAGAGCGGCGGACGGGUGAGUAAUACCUGGGAAUCUGCCUGAUAGUGGGGGAUAACGUUCGGAAACGGACGCUAAUACCGCAUACGUCCUACGGGAGAAAGCAGGGGAUCUUCGGACCUUGCGCUAUCAGAUGAGCCCAGGUCGGAUUAGCUUGUUGGUGAGGUAACGGCUCACCAAGGCGACGAUCCGUAACUGGUCUGAGAGGAUGAUCAGUCACACUGGAACUGAGACACGGUCCAGACUCCUACGGGAGGCAGCAGUGGGGAAUAUUGGACAAUGGGCGAAAGCCUGAUCCAGCCAUGCCGCGUGUGUGAAGAAGGUCUUCGGAUUGUAAAGCACUUUAAGUUGGGAGGAAGGGUUGUAGUUUAAUACGCUGCAAUCUUGACGUUACCGACAGAAUAAGCACCGGCUAACUCUGUGCCAGCAGCCGCGGUAAUACAGAGGGUGCAAGCGUUAAUCGGAAUUACUGGGCGUAAAGCGCGCGUAGGUGGCUAAGUAAGAUGGGUGUGAAAUCCCCGGGCUCAACCUGGGAACUGCAUCCAUAACUGCUUAGCUAGAGUACGGUAGAGGGUAGUGGAAUUUCCUGUGUAGCGGUGAAAUGCGUAGAUAUAGGAAGGAACACCAGUGGCGAAGGCGACUACCUGGACUGAUACUGACACUGAGGUGCGAAAGCGUGGGGAGCA
RNAcentral lists this ribosomal RNA (695 nucleotides) under Pseudomonas sp. BAL311. RNAcentral's name for it is "bacterial SSU rRNA". It matches the Rfam family "Bacterial small subunit ribosomal RNA", at positions 79 to 770 of the family's 1533-position model. The record is from RNAcentral. Lineage: Bacteria; Pseudomonadati; Pseudomonadota; Gammaproteobacteria; Pseudomonadales; Pseudomonadaceae.